RNAcentral lists this ribosomal RNA (450 nucleotides) under uncultured bacterium. RNAcentral's name for it is "bacterial SSU rRNA". It matches the Rfam family "Bacterial small subunit ribosomal RNA", at positions 29 to 524 of the family's 1533-position model. The record is from RNAcentral.
AACGAACGCUGGCGGCAUGCCUAACACAUGCAAGUCGAACGAGACCUUCGGGUCUAGUGGCGCACGGGUGCGUAACGCGUGGGAAUCUACCCUUGGGUUCGGAAUAACUCAGAGAAAUUUGAGCUAAUACCGGAUGAUGUCGCAAGACCAAAGAUUUAUCGCCCAAGGAUGAGCCCGCGUAGGAUUAGCUUGUUGGUGAGGUAAAAGCUCACCAAGGCGACGAUCCUUAGCUGGUCUGAGAGGAUGAUCAGCCACACUUGGACUGAGACACGGCCCAGACUCCUACGGGAGGCAGCAGUGGGGAAUAUUGGACAAUGGGCGAAAGCCUGAUCCAGCAAUGCCGCGUGAGUGAUGAAGGCCUUAGGGUUGUAAAGCUCUUUUACCCGGGAUGAUAAUGACAGUACCGGGAGAAUAAGCCCCGGCUAACUCCGUGCCAGCAGCCGCGGUAAU